CCGUAGGAGUCCGAACGAAGUUCAUCUGCAAUUGGGAUCGCGGGUGGAGUCCGUCUCCCGUAGGAGUCCGGUCGAAGCCCACCUGCAAUCAAGGUCAGGGACGAAGUCCGGCUCCCGUAGGAGUCCGGACGGAGUUUACCUGUAAGUGAAGUCGUGGGCGAAGCUCGGCUCCCGUGGGAGUCCGAACGAAGCUUUCCCGCAGUUGAGGUUGGGGACGAAGUCCGGCUCCCGUAGGAGUUCGGACUAAGUCUGCCUGUAGCUGGAGUCGGAGACG
Molecule: long non-coding RNA, 274 nt
Filed under: Elaeis guineensis (African oil palm)
Lineage: Eukaryota; Viridiplantae; Streptophyta; Magnoliopsida; Arecales; Arecaceae
Description: long non-coding RNA (EGUI_LNC079727)
Source: RNAcentral